CGUUUCAGAACUCUGAACUAACCUGAGUUUAAUUUCUCUUUAGUUCUGAUCUCACUGCUGAGCUGCACCACAAACCAAGCUUCAAAGAAAACUCCUCCAUCGUCCUGAAGAAAAGGAUCAACUUCAUCUAACAUAAAGUUUGAGGAUUUAAAUGGAGGAAACAUCUCUGUUGUGGUUGCUCUUUCUGAUCUCACU
Molecule: non-coding RNA, 195 nt
Organism: Neolamprologus brichardi
Lineage: Eukaryota; Metazoa; Chordata; Actinopteri; Cichliformes; Cichlidae
Source: RefSeq, a predicted model, not a curated record